RNAcentral lists this long non-coding RNA (1465 nucleotides) under Calidris pygmaea (Spoon-billed sandpiper). Its description in RNAcentral is "lncRNA (ENSCPGG00000009179.1)". The record is from RNAcentral. Lineage: Eukaryota; Metazoa; Chordata; Aves; Charadriiformes; Scolopacidae.
CCCAUCCCCGAAGUGCAGCGUUAGGAGGGUUCAGCCAUCACAACCCCUCUGGUGGGGACGGCUUUGGGGGGCUCACACCACCACGUGCUGGGGCAGGGGGGUGUCAUCUGGGUGGUCAGCAGGGGGGCAGGGCCUGGGCCGGGCCGUGCUGGUGGGGGGUGAGGAUGCGGCGUGGACCGGCACCGAGCUGCUCUCAUCUUCAACUUCCUUCCCAGCACCGAGCCCAUUUCCUCUGGUGUCACGUGCACCGUGUGGGGCCGUGGCAGCCCCGGGAGCCUGGCACCGCACUGCGCCCCACAGCUUCGUGGGCAGCCCCACACCAGCAGCUCCCGGACCCCCCGAGGAUGGAGCCGGCCAAGGUCCCCCCCAGCAAGAGGAUGGCUCCUGCUCCCCCCGUCCCUGCCAAGGCCAAACCGGCCCCCACCCUGGCCAGCAAGUAAGACACACGUGGCCCUGUCAGGGCACCUGGGGCCACUGUGAUGCCCCCAGCACCGUGGCCCUGCCCAUGUCCAUGCCUUGUCCCCAGAUGGGAGCUCCCCUCUGGGAGGGUUGAGCAUGGCCCGGCUCUGCCCUUUGACCACCUCUGCUGCCCCCCCAGACCUGGUGGCCCCCCACCCGGUGCCUCGGCCGACGCGGAGCUGGGCAGAGCCAGAGACACAGGUGGGUGCUGGGUGCAGGCACCGGGCGCUGCAGCCGCCGUGGGGCCGUGCCCUCUGCCGGCACCGGGCGCUGACGCUCUCUCUUUGGCAGAUGGUGACGGCUUCAACGUGGUGCCGGUCACCACGGCCAGGCUGAGCCACCCCACGGCCACACGCCCCCGGGUGCCGGGCCAGCGGCCGCCCAGCCUCGCCCUGGGGAGCGUGGGGGGUCCCUGCGGGGGGGAGCAGCCCUGGGGGCUCGGUGCCCCUCUCCCCGGCGCGGGCCAGGCUCCUGGCCCACCGUGGAGCACGGAGGUUCUGGUGGCACCGCGGGCAGGGGAGACGCUGGCCCUGGAGGACCUGAAGGCUGAGGUCCGGUCCCUGCACAUCCUCGUGGACCUGAUGCGAGUCCAGCACCUGCGGGACCUGGAGGAGAUGCGGCUGGAGAUGUGCCAGGAGCGAGCCAAGCGCCAGGCGCUGCAGGUGAGUCCCCGGCGAGGGGCUGCCCCCCCCCCCCCCCAACCAUGGGGUCCCCCCCACCCCCCCGACACUCACAGCCUCUCCCUGCAGGCGGAGAUCGAGCGGGUGAGGAAGGCGCUGCCCUGCUAACAGCGGCGGUGCCCACCCCUCCGGGCUGGUGGGUGGCACUUGGUGCUGGUGCUGUGCCCUGUGCCCCCCCCCAGCCCAGUUCUGCACCCAUUGGGCAGGAACCCUCACCCCCACACCCGGGCUUCGUGGUGUGGUGCAGACCCCAAGGGGGCACCCACCCUGGGCUUAUAGAUAUUGUUUAAAAUAAACUAUUUUGGGUACAGAGCGCUGCUGGGCUG